RNAcentral lists this ribosomal RNA (1474 nucleotides) under Cyanobium sp. NIES-981. Its description in RNAcentral is "bacterial SSU rRNA". It matches the Rfam family "Bacterial small subunit ribosomal RNA". Lineage: Bacteria; Bacillati; Cyanobacteriota; Cyanophyceae; Synechococcales; Prochlorococcaceae. The record is from RNAcentral.
AGAGUUUGAUCCUGGCUCAGGAUGAACGCUGGCGGCGUGCUUAACACAUGCAAGUCGAACGCACCUUCGGGUGAGUGGCGGACGGGUGAGUAACGCGUGAGAAUCUGCCCUCAGGAGGGGGAUAACGGCUGGAAACGGCCGCUAAUACCCCAUAUGCCGCGAGGUGAAAUGAGUUUUCGCCUGAGGAUGAGCUCGCGUCUGAUUAGCUAGUUGGUGGGGUAAGAGCCUACCAAGGCAUCGAUCAGUAGCUGGUCUGAGAGGAUGAUCAGCCACACUGGGACUGAGACACGGCCCAGACUCCUACGGGAGGCAGCAGUGGGGAAUUUUCCGCAAUGGGCGAAAGCCUGACGGAGCAACGCCGCGUGAGGGAUGAAGGCCUCUGGGCUGUAAACCUCUUUUCUCAAGGAAGAAGAUCUGACGGUACUUGAGGAAUAAGCCACGGCUAAUUCCGUGCCAGCAGCCGCGGUAAUACGGGAGUGGCAAGCGUUAUCCGGAAUUAUUGGGCGUAAAGCGUCCGCAGGCGGUCUUGAAAGUCUGUUGUUAAAGCGUGGAGCUCAACUCCAUUUAAGCAAUGGAAACUACAAGACUAGAGUGUGGUAGGGGCAGAGGGAAUUCCCGGUGUAGCGGUGAAAUGCGUAGAUAUCGGGAAGAACACCAGUGGCGAAGGCGCUCUGCUGGGCCAUAACUGACGCUCAUGGACGAAAGCCAGGGGAGCGAAAGGGAUUAGAUACCCCUGUAGUCCUGGCCGUAAACGAUGAACACUAGGUGUCGGGGGAAUCGACCCCCUCGGUGUCGUAGCCAACGCGUUAAGUGUUCCGCCUGGGGAGUACGCACGCAAGUGUGAAACUCAAAGGAAUUGACGGGGGCCCGCACAAGCGGUGGAGUAUGUGGUUUAAUUCGAUGCAACGCGAAGAACCUUACCAGGGUUUGACAUCCUGCGAAUCCCUGAGAAAUCGGGGAGUGCCUUCGGGAGCGCAGAGACAGGUGGUGCAUGGCUGUCGUCAGCUCGUGUCGUGAGAUGUUGGGUUAAGUCCCGCAACGAGCGCAACCCACGUCUUUAGUUGCCAGCAUUAAGUUGGGCACUCUAGAGAGACCGCCGGUGAUAAACCGGAGGAAGGUGUGGAUGACGUCAAGUCAUCAUGCCCCUUACAUCCUGGGCUACACACGUACUACAAUGCUACGGACAAAGGGCAGCAAACUCGCGAGAGCUAGCAAAUCCCAUAAACCGUGGCUCAGUUCAGAUCGUAGGCUGCAACUCGCCUACGUGAAGGAGGAAUCGCUAGUAAUCGCAGGUCAGCAUACUGCGGUGAAUACGUUCCCGGGCCUUGUACACACCGCCCGUCACACCAUGGAAGUUGGCCACGCCCGAAGUCGUUACUCCAACCCUUGUGGAGGAGGACGCCGAAGGUGGGGCUGAUGACUGGGGUGAAGUCGUAACAAGGUAGCCGUACCGGAAGGUGCGGCUGGAUCACCU